CCAAUAGCGUAUAUUAAAGUUGUUGCAGUUAAAAAGCUCGUAGUUGAAUUUCGGAACCAAUAUGUUGGUCGUGCCUUGGUACGUACUGGCGUCAUUGGUUUCUCCCUUCUGAAGAACCUUGAUGUCAUUAAUUUGGUGUCUUGGGGAAUCAGGACUGUUACUUUGAAAAAAUUAGAGUGUUUAAAGCAGGCUCGCGCUUGAAUACAUUAGCAUGGAAUAAUGAAAUAGGACGUUUGAUUCUAUUUUGUUGGUUUCUAGGAUCGACGUAAUGAUUAAUAGGGAUAGUUGGGGGCAUUAGUAUUCAAUUGUCAGAGGUGAAAUUCUUGGAUUUAUUGAAGACUAACUACUGCGAAAGCAUUUGCCAAGGAUGUUUUCAUUAAUCAAGAACGAAAGUUAGGGGAUCGAAGACGAUCAGAUACCGUCGUAGUCUUAACCAUAAACUAUGCCGACUAGGGAUCGGAUGAUGUUAAUUUUUUAAUGACUCAUUCGGCGCCUUACG
Molecule: ribosomal RNA, 499 nt
Filed under: uncultured Glomeromycotina
Lineage: Eukaryota; Fungi; Glomeromycota
Description: partial small subunit ribosomal RNA
Rfam family: Eukaryotic small subunit ribosomal RNA
Source: RNAcentral